UACGUAGGGGGCUAGCGUUGUCCGGAUUUAUUGGGCGUAAAGAGCGCGUAGGCGGCCGAGUAAGUCCGGCGUGAAAUCUGGAGGCUCAACCUCCAGCGGUCGUUGGAAACUACUCGGCUAGAGUCCGGAAGAGGAGAGUGGAAUUCCUGGUGUAGCGGUGAAAUGCGCAGAUAUCAGGAAGAACACCGAUGGCGAAAGCAGCUCUCUGGGACGGUACUGACGCUGAGGCGCGAAAGCGUGGGGAGCGAACAGG
RNAcentral lists this ribosomal RNA (253 nucleotides) under uncultured bacterium. Its description in RNAcentral is "partial 16S ribosomal RNA". It matches the Rfam family "Bacterial small subunit ribosomal RNA", at positions 524 to 776 of the family's 1533-position model. The record is from RNAcentral.